AUUGAACGCUGGCGGCAGGCCUAACCCAUGCAAGUCGAGCGAGCGGCGGACGGGUGAGUAAUGUCUGGGAAACUGCCUGAUGGAGGGGGAUAACUACUGGAAACGGUAGCUAAUACCGCCUACCAUCUGAUGUGCCCAGGUGGGAUUAGCUAGUAUGGGGGGUAACUGCUCACCUAGGCGACGAGCCCUAGCUGGGCUGAGAGGAUGACCAGCCACACUGGAACUGAGACACGGUCCAGACUCCUACGGGAGGCAGCAGUGGGGAAUAUUGCACAAUGGGCGAAAGCCUGAUGCAGCCAUGCCGCGUGUAUGAAGAAGGGCUUCGGGUUGUAAAGUACUUUCAGCGAGGAGGCGUUACUCGCAGAAGAAGCACCGGCUAACUCCGUGCCAGCAGACGCGGUAAUAC
RNAcentral lists this ribosomal RNA (406 nucleotides) under uncultured bacterium. RNAcentral describes it as "partial 16S ribosomal RNA". It matches the Rfam family "Bacterial small subunit ribosomal RNA", at positions 30 to 526 of the family's 1533-position model. The record is from RNAcentral.